GACGAACGCUGGCGGCGUGCUUAACACAUGCAAGUCGAACGGGAUUUAGUAAACGGAAGCCUCGGUGGAAGAUUACUAAUGAGAGUGGCGAACGGGUGAGUAACGCGUGAGCAACCUGCCUAUGACAGUGGGAUAGCCUCGGGAAACCGGGAUUAAUACCGCAUAAAAUCGUAGAAACACAUGUUUCAACAGUCAAAGAUUUAUCGGUCAUAGAUGGGCUCGCGUCUGAUUAGCUAGUUGGUGAGAUAACAGCCCACCAAGGCGACGAUCAGUAGCCGGUCUGAGAGGAUGAACGGCCACAUUGGAACUGAGACACGGUCCAAACUCCUACGGGAGGCAGCAGUGGGGAAUAUUGCACAAUGGGGGAAACCCUGAUGCAGCGACGCCGCGUGAACGAAGAAGGUAUUCGUAUCGUAAAGUUCUGUCCUAUGGGAAGAUAAUGACAGUACCAUAGAAGAAAGCUCCGGCUAAAUACGUG
RNAcentral lists this ribosomal RNA (478 nucleotides) under uncultured bacterium. Its description in RNAcentral is "partial 16S ribosomal RNA". It matches the Rfam family "Bacterial small subunit ribosomal RNA", at positions 28 to 507 of the family's 1533-position model. The record is from RNAcentral.